Molecule: ribosomal RNA, 907 nt
Filed under: uncultured bacterium
Lineage: Bacteria
Description: bacterial SSU rRNA
Rfam family: Bacterial small subunit ribosomal RNA
Source: RNAcentral
AGAGUUUGAUCAUGGCUCAGGACGAACGCUGGCUGCGUGCUUAACACAUGCAAGUCGAACGCUGAAGCCCUGGUGCUUGCACCGGGGUGGAUGAGUGGCGAACGGGUGAGUAACACGUGAGUAACCUGCCCCUGACUUCGGGAUAAGCCCGGGAAACUGGGUCUAAUACCGAAUAUGACCGUUCCUCGCAUGAGGGAUGGUGGAAAGUUUUUUCGGUUGGGGAUGGGCUCGCGGCCUAUCAGCUAGAUGGUGGGGUAAUGGCCCACCAUGGCGACGACGGGUAGCCGGCCUGAGAGGGCGACCGGCCACACUGGGACUGAGACACGGCCCAGACUCCUACGGGAGGCAGCAGUGGGGAAUAUUGCACAAUGGGGGAAACCCUGAUGCAGCGACGCAGCGUGCGGGAUGACGGCCUUCGGGUUGUAAACCGCUUUCAGCAGGGAAGAAGCCCCUUGGGGUGACGGUACCUGCAGAAGAAGUACCGGCUAACUACGUGCCAGCAGCCGCGGUAAUACGUAGGGUACGAGCGUUGUCCGGAAUUAUUGGGCGUAAAGAGCUCGUAGGUGGUUGGUCACGUCUGCUGUGGAAACGCAACGCUUAACGUUGCGCGUGCAGUGGGUACGGGCUGACUAGAGUGCAGUAGGGGAGUCUGGAAUUCCUGGUGUAGCGGUGAAAUGCGCAGAUAUCACGAGGAACACCGGUGGCGAAGGCGGGACUCUGGGCUGUAACUGACACUGAGGAGCGAAAGCAUGGGGAGCGAACAGGAUUAGAUACCCUGGUAGUCCAUGCCGUAAACGUUGGGCACUAGGUGUGGGGGACAUUCCACGUUCUCCGCGCCGUAGCUAACGCAUUAAGUGCCCCGCCUGGGGAGUACGGUCGCAAGGCUAAAACUCAAAGGAAUUGACGG